CCUACGGGGGGCAGCAGUCGGGAAUAUUGCGCAAUGGAGGAAACUCUGACGCAGUGACGCCGCGUAUAGGAAGAAGGUUUUCGGAUUGUAAACUAUUGUCGUUAGGGAAGAUAAAAGACAGUACCUAAGGAGGAAGCUCCGGCUAACUACGUGCCAGCAGCCGCGGUAAUACGUAGGGAGCAAGCGUUAUCCGGAUUUAUUGGGCGUAAAGAGAACGCAGGCGGUCUUUUAAGUCUGA
This 238-nucleotide ribosomal RNA is filed under the name uncultured bacterium. RNAcentral's name for it is "partial 16S ribosomal RNA". It matches the Rfam family "Bacterial small subunit ribosomal RNA", at positions 338 to 592 of the family's 1533-position model. The record is from RNAcentral.